CGGUUGAUCCUGCCGGAGGUUACUGCUAUCGGAGUUCGAUUAAGCCAUGCGAGUCUAAAGGUUUCUUCGGAAACCUUGGCGGACUGCUCAGUAACACGUGGAUAACCUACCCUUGGGACUGGGAUAACCCCGGGAAACUGGGGAUAAUACCGGAUAGAUCAGGGAUGCUGGAAUGCGCCUUGAUCCAAAGCUCCGGCGCCCAAGGAUGGGUCUGCGGCCUAUCAGGUUGUAGUGGGUGUAACGUACCUACUAGCCGACGACGGGUACGGGUUGUGAGAGCAAGAGCCCGGAGAUGGAUUCUGAGACACGAAUCCAGGCCCUACGGGGUGCAGCAGGCGCGAAACCUUUACAAUGUGCGAAAGCAUGAUAAGGGAACUCCGAGUGCCAGUAUCUAAUACUGGCUGUCCUUGUGCCUAAACCGCACAAGAUAGCAAGGGCCGGGUAAGACCGGUGCCAGCCGCCGCGGUAACACCGGCGGCCCGAGUGGUAGCCGCUAUUAUUGGGUCUAAAGGGUCCGUAGCCGGUUCGAUAAGUCCUCUGGGAAAUCUGGUUGCUUAACAAUCAGACUGCCAAGGGAUACUGUCGAACUUGAGACCGGGAGAGGUAAGAGGUACUUCAGGGGUAGGAGUGAAAUCUUGUAAUCCCUGGGGGACCAUCUGUGGCGAAGGCGUCUUACCAGAACGGGUCUGACGGUGAGGGACGAAAGCUGGGGGCGCAAACCGGAUUAGAUACCCGGGUAGUCCCAGCCGUAAACGAUGCUCGCUAUGUGUCAGGUACGGUGUGACCGUAUCUGGUGCCGUAGGGAAGCCGUGAAGCGAGCCACCUGGGAAGUACGGUCGCAAGACUGAAACUUAAAGGAAUUGGCGGGGGAGCAC
Molecule: ribosomal RNA, 875 nt
Filed under: uncultured archaeon
Lineage: Archaea
Description: bacterial SSU rRNA
Rfam family: Archaeal small subunit ribosomal RNA
Source: RNAcentral